This is a long non-coding RNA of Gallus gallus (chicken), 1779 nucleotides long. Lineage: Eukaryota; Metazoa; Chordata; Aves; Galliformes; Phasianidae. The record is from Ensembl.
GUUGGCAGUGAUGAUAAUAGGAAGAAAUUCCCUAAAGACUAUGAAAAAGGACUUCAGAGUCUUGGGGUGACAGGUAAAGGGUUCGGGAGUACAAGUUGUGUUCUCCUCUAUCCCUCCAGUUAUAGGGAACAAUGAGGGACUAAAACUGAUGGGCCAAUGGAUUAAUACCUGGCUCCAAGCCUGGUGUUCCUGGCAGGGGUUUGUGUUUUUUGACCUCUGCUCUGUUUGCAUGAGACCAGGCCAGCUGGGAACCUAUAGGAGUAGCUUCUCCCACUGGUGGAUAGGGGCCUUAAGACAGGAGUUGGGAAGGUUCAUUCAUAGAGCUUUAAACUAGGUAUGAAGGGAGGUGGGGGUGUAACUGGGGUCACUAGAACGGAGCCUGUAUGUAACAUCUCAGUGCUUGUAGAAGAGGGAUGUGAUAGUAAGAUCCCCCAGUCUUGUGUCUCGGUGAAGGAGGAUGACUCCUUUUGUAGGAAGAACACAAGGGUUGAUGUGAGGUUGGUGGCUGUGGAAACACCUGAGUAUCGUCAUGAGGGUAUUAGGGCACCUGCCACUCAAAAGGAGGCCCAGCUCAGGUACCUUUACACUAACGCACACAGCACGAGUAAUAAACAGGAGGAGCCGGAGGCCACUGUGUGGUCGGAAAGCUAUGAUACAGUCACCAUCAUGGAAACAUGGUGGAAUGGCUCGCACAGCUGGCAUGCUAUGAUGGAUGGCUCCCGACUUUUCAAAAGAGACAGGCAAGACAGGAAGGGUGGUGGUGUAGCCUUCUAUGUUAAGAAUGUGAACAUAUGGAAACUAAUGAUGAUGAUGAUAGGGUUGAGAACUUAUGGGUCAGAAUAAAAGCAAAGGCCAAUAAGACUGAUAUUAUCAUGGGAGUCUGCUACAGGCCAUCCAGCCAGGAUGAAGAGGUGGACAAGACACUUUAUAGACAGUUGGGUGAGGUCUCAAGGUUUCUCCCCCUUGUUCUUACGGGGGACUUCAACUUCCCAGACAUCUGCUGGAUUUAUAAUACAGCAGAUAAAUAACAGUCCUGGAGGUUCCUAGAGAGUGUGGGAGAUAACUUCCUGACACAGCUGGUGAGGGAGCCAAUGAGGGGAAGCAAAAUCCUGGACCUGCUGUUUGUUAACAGAGAAGGUCUUGUGAGGGAUGUAAAGGUUGGAGGCCAUCUGGGGCAUAGUGAUCAUGAGAAGCUAGAUUUCUUGAUCCUUGUUGAAACCACAGAGGGGAGUCAACAGAACUGUCACCUUGGACUUCGGGAGGGCAGACUUAAACCUCUUUAGGACCAUGGUUGAGAGGGUCCCUUGGGAGUAGUUUUGAAGAACGUGGGAGCCCAGGAAGGCUGGGAAUACUUUAAGGAAGUUAUUUUAGAGGUGCAGGAGCUGACCAUCCUCAAGUCACAGAAGACAAAUCGACGAGCAAAGAGGCCACACUGGCUGAACAGAGACCUUUGGCUGGAUCUCAAGAACAAAAAGAAAGUUUAUGGUCUCUGAAAGAGUAGGCAAGCUACUUAUGAUGAUUACAGGUAUGUAGUGAAGCUGUGCAGGGAGAAAAUUAGAAAAGCCAAAGCCCAGCUAGAACUGAACUUGGCCACUAAGGUAAAGGAAAACAAUAAAUAUUUUUAUAAAUACAUCAACAGCAAGAGGAGAGCUAGGGAGAAUCUCCAUCCCUUGUUGUAUGCCGAAGGCAAUUUGGUGACACAAGGAUCAGGAUGAGGUGGUUUUGGACCUGCUCCAAAAGCUGGAUGCUCACAAGUCCAUUGGGCUGGAUGGACUGCAC